Molecule: ribosomal RNA, 212 nt
Filed under: Clostridioides difficile
Lineage: Bacteria; Bacillati; Bacillota; Clostridia; Peptostreptococcales; Peptostreptococcaceae
Description: partial 16S ribosomal RNA
Rfam family: Bacterial small subunit ribosomal RNA
Source: RNAcentral
GAGUUACUAGUAAUCGCAGAUCAGAAUGCUGCGGUGAAUGCGUUCCCGGGUCUUGUACACACCGCCCGUCACACCACGGGAGUUGGAGACGCCCGAAGCCGAUUAUCUAACCUUUUGGAAGAAGUCGGCGAAGGUGGAAUCAAUAACUGGGGUGAAGUCGUAACAAGGUAGCCGUAUCGGAAGGUGCGGCUGGAUCACCUCCUUUCUAAGGA